UACGGAGGGAGCUAGCGUUGUUCGGAAUUACUGGGCGUAGAGCGCACGUAGGCGGCUUUGUAAGUUAGAGGUGAAAGCCCAGGGCUCAACCCUGGAAUUGCCUUUAAGACUGCAUCGCUUGAACAUCGGAGAGGUAAGUGGAAUUCCGAGUGUAGAGGUGAAAUUCGUAGAUAUUCGGAAGAACACCAGUGGCGAAGGCGACUUACUGGACGAUUGUUGACGCUGAGGUGCGAAAGCGUGGGGAGCAAACAGG
This 253-nucleotide ribosomal RNA is filed under the name uncultured bacterium. Its description in RNAcentral is "partial 16S ribosomal RNA". It matches the Rfam family "Bacterial small subunit ribosomal RNA", at positions 524 to 776 of the family's 1533-position model. The record is from RNAcentral.